This 497-nucleotide ribosomal RNA is filed under the name uncultured bacterium. RNAcentral's name for it is "partial 16S ribosomal RNA". It matches the Rfam family "Bacterial small subunit ribosomal RNA", at positions 28 to 507 of the family's 1533-position model. The record is from RNAcentral.
GAUGAACGCUGGCGGCGUGCCUAAUACAUGCAAGUCGAGCGAACAGACGAGGAGCUUGCUCCUCUGACGUUAGCGGCGGACGGGUGAGUAACACGUGGAUAACCUACCUAUAAGACUGGGAUAACUUCGGGAAACCGGAGCUAAUACCGGAUAAUAUAUUGAACCGCAUGGUUCAAUAGUGAAAGACGGUUUUGCUGUCACUUAUAGAUGGAUCCGCGCCGCAUUAGCUAGUUGGUAAGGUAACGGCUUACCAAGGCGACGAUGCGUAGCCGACCUGAGAGAGUGAUCGCCCACACUGGAACAGAGACACGGUCCAGACACCUACGAGGGGCGGAAGUAGAGAAACUUCCGCGAUAGGCGAAAGCCUGACGGAGAGACACCGCGUGAGAGAUAAAGAUCUUCGGAUCUUAAAACACUGUUAUUAGGGAAAAACAAAUAUGUAAAAGAAUAUACACGUCUUGACGGUACCUAAUCAGAGAGACACGGCUAAAUACAUG